AGGACGAACGCUGGCGGCGUGCUUAACACAUGCAAGUCGAGCGGAAAGGCCUUUCGGGGUACUCGAGCGGCGAACGGGUGAGUAACACGUGAGUAAUCUGCCCAUCGCUUCAGGAUAGCCAUCGGAAACGGUGAUUAAUACUGGAUAUGACAUUCCUUCGCAUGUUGGGGUGUGGAAAGUUUUUUCGGCGGUGGAUGUGCUCGCGGCCUAUCAGCUUGUUGGUGGGGUAAUGGCCUACCAAGGCUUUGACGGGUAGCCGGCCUGAGAGGGUGACCGGCCACACUGGGACUGAGACACGGCCCAGACUCCUACGGGAGGCAGCAGUGGGGAAUAUUGGACAAUGGGCGCAAGCCUGAUGCAGCAACGCCGCGUGGGGACGAAGGCCUUCGGGUGUAAACCUCUUUAGUAGGAAGAAGCGAAAGUGACGGUACCGUGCAGAAAAAGCAACCGGCUAACUACGUGCCAGCAGCCGC
RNAcentral lists this ribosomal RNA (473 nucleotides) under uncultured soil bacterium. RNAcentral describes it as "bacterial SSU rRNA". It matches the Rfam family "Bacterial small subunit ribosomal RNA", at positions 26 to 518 of the family's 1533-position model. The record is from RNAcentral.